Long non-coding RNA from Hemicordylus capensis (graceful crag lizard), 803 nucleotides. RefSeq lists it as uncharacterized. Lineage: Eukaryota; Metazoa; Chordata; Lepidosauria; Squamata; Cordylidae. The record is from RefSeq and is a predicted model, not a curated record. The transcript is spliced from 3 exons.
GGAUACUUGUAAAGGGGAAUCCUUCAGGAUUACAAGGUACAUUUCCAUUCUGGCCACCAUGCAUGCAUAAAUGGCCCCUGUGAGCCCUGGCAGGACCCAGGGCCUCGCAGAGGUCAUUUACGCAUGUGCUGCGGCGGCCAAAAUGGCCACUGCCGUGCACUACAGAAGCCUGAAUGGGCCAAAAAUGAUCAAUUUCCCGGGCCGCAGUGGUGACUUCAGAGGCCAGCAGGGGGAAGGGGAACCUUCGCGGACGCCACCACCCACACGGCAUAUAGGAAGCCCCCCGAAGGGGCUAAAGCCCCAGCAUAUUUUUAAAAACAGGAUGGCACCUGUGCAGUCCCUGGAAGUUAAUCAAUGAUGGCACCAAUCAGCUGUUCAGGGAGAGGAGGAAGCAGGGGGAGCUCAAUCCAGCAUAGCUGAUCAGCUUAGAGGACUUCAAAAGGAUGAGCAGACGCAAAGGAAGGCAUCAGAGUUCUUGCUGUUGCUAUUUUGACAGUUGUACAGAAGAGGGAAUUCCAGCAUGCGGAACUCGCCAGGCAGUGGUAAGAAAAGCCGUACUGCCUAAAUCACCUCCACUACAUAAGUACUGGAGGCACAAAAACCCUGCCCUCCUCUGCACCUGGGAAUAUUCUCUCUUCUAUUUAAAAGAGAAGCCAAACAACAAAGAACAAAGAAAAUGACAGUGGUACCAUGGGUGUACUGGUCAGGAUGCAAUCCACUUACGGGGCCCAAAAACACCAGUUGAAGAGCACUGGUUUACUGUGUAUGGUGACUGAUCUAAUACAGAUGAAAUAAACAGAAAG